RNAcentral lists this ribosomal RNA (253 nucleotides) under uncultured bacterium. RNAcentral describes it as "partial 16S ribosomal RNA". It matches the Rfam family "Bacterial small subunit ribosomal RNA", at positions 524 to 776 of the family's 1533-position model. The record is from RNAcentral.
UACGUAGGGUGCGAGCGUUAAUCGGAAUUACUGGGCGUAAAGCGUGCGCAGGCGGUUGUGCAAGACAGAUGUGAAAUCCCCGGGCUUAACCUGGGAACUGCAUUUGUGACUGCACGGCUAGAGUGUGUCAGAGGGGGGUAGAAUUCCACGUGUAGCAGUGAAAUGCGUAGAGAUGUGGAGGAAUACCGAUGGCGAAGGCAAUCCCCUGGACCUGUACUGACGCUCAUGCACGAAAGCGUGGGGAGCAAACAGG